This 256-nucleotide ribosomal RNA is filed under the name uncultured bacterium. Its description in RNAcentral is "partial 16S ribosomal RNA". It matches the Rfam family "Bacterial small subunit ribosomal RNA", at positions 521 to 776 of the family's 1533-position model. The record is from RNAcentral.
UAAAACGUAGGGGGCGAGCGUUGUCCGGAAUUACUGGGCGUAAAGGGCGCGUAGGCGGUUAUUUAAGUCAGAGGUGAAAACUACCGGCUCAACCGGUAGCCUGCCUUUGAAACUGGAUAACUUGAGGGCAGGAGAGGGGAGUGGAAUUCCCAGUGUAGCGGUGAAAUGCGUAGAUAUUGGGAGGAACACCAGUGGCGAAGGCGGCUCUCUGGCCUGUUUCUGACGCUGAGGCGCGAAAGCGUGGGGAGCGAACGGG